Transfer RNA from Pseudomassariella vexata, 84 nucleotides. It matches the Rfam family "tRNA". From Rfam's summary of the family: Transfer RNA (tRNA) molecules are approximately 80 nucleotides in length. Their secondary structure includes four short double-helical elements and three loops (D, anti-codon, and T loops). Further hydrogen bonds mediate the characteristic L-shaped molecular structure. tRNAs have two regions of fundamental functional importance: the anti-codon, which is responsible for specific mRNA codon recognition, and the 3' end, to which the tRNAs corresponding amino acid is attached (by aminoacyl-tRNA synthetases). tRNAs cope with the degeneracy of the genetic code in two manners: having more than one tRNA (with a specific anti-codon) for a particular amino acid; and 'wobble' base-pairing, i.e. permitting non-standard base-pairing at the 3rd anti-codon position. NCBI's taxonomy places the organism in Eukaryota, Fungi, Ascomycota, Sordariomycetes, Amphisphaeriales, Pseudomassariaceae. The record is from Rfam.
CUCUAGAUAGCUCAGUUGGAAGAGCGACGGACUGUAAUAGUACAAGACAUCCGCAGGUCGAGGGUUCGACUCCCUCUCUGGAGA